ACGAGCUUAUUCUUGUCGUUUUCAGUCUAGUGACAAAGAAGAAAAAGAAGAUGAUCGUAUUGGACUUCAUUCAUUGACUCGGGAUGUCGGUGGUUGCAGUGCUGGGUUCUCUUUUGAACUUGGUCUCCCCCAUUGAUGAACGUCCGCUGUCGCUAUUCCAAGGCAGCGUGAGUGAGUGGAGUGAUAUGA
This 189-nucleotide small nucleolar RNA is filed under the name Phytophthora infestans T30-4. RNAcentral describes it as "Small nucleolar RNA U3". The stretch from base 50 to 189 matches the Rfam family "Small nucleolar RNA U3", at positions 81 to 214 of the family's 219-position model. Rfam says of the family: Small nucleolar RNAs (snoRNAs) are involved in the processing and modification of rRNA in the nucleolus. The record is from Rfam by way of RNAcentral. Lineage: Eukaryota; Oomycota; Peronosporomycetes; Peronosporales; Peronosporaceae.